GUGCUCACUUUGGGAGCACAUAUAUUAAAAGUAGAAAGAUACAGAGAAGAUUAGCAUGGCCCCUGCAUAAGAAUGACACACAAAUUCAUGAAGCAUUACUUAUUUUU
Molecule: small nuclear RNA, 107 nt
Filed under: Sciurus vulgaris (Eurasian red squirrel)
Lineage: Eukaryota; Metazoa; Chordata; Mammalia; Rodentia; Sciuridae
Source: RNAcentral